This 237-nucleotide unclassified non-coding RNA is filed under the name uncultured fungus. RNAcentral's name for it is "sequence contains ITS2". The stretch from base 1 to 52 matches the Rfam family "5.8S ribosomal RNA", at positions 103 to 154 of the family's 154-position model. Lineage: Eukaryota; Fungi. The record is from RNAcentral.
AACGCACAUUGCGCCCCUUGGUAUUCCGAGGGGCAUGCCUGUUCGAGCGUCAUUAUAACCACUCAAGCCUGGCUUGGUAUUGGGGUUCGCGGGUUCGCGGCCCUUAAAAUCAGUGGCGGUGCCGUCUGGCUCUAAGCGUAGUAAAUCUCUCGCUCUGGAGUCCCGGCGGUUGCUUGCCAAAACCCCUUUAUUUCUCAGGUUGACCUCGGAUCAGGUAGGGAUACCCGCUGAACUUAA